CAAAAAUCAGUUUGGGAAAUAGAGACACUUGAAUGAAUGGGUUUUGAGAUAAAAAUCUGUCUUGUCAUCCUCCUGAGGUGGAGCAGAUUGCAUUUUCCAGCUGAGGCAGGAGAAUGGCAUGAACCCGGGAGGCGGAGCUUGCAGUGAGCCGAGAUCGCGCCACUGCACUCCAGCCUGGGUGACAGAGCGAGACUC
Homo sapiens (human) is the source of this 195-nucleotide long non-coding RNA. NCBI's taxonomy places the organism in Eukaryota, Metazoa, Chordata, Mammalia, Primates, Hominidae. The record is from Ensembl.